GAAAUGCGAUAAGUAAUGUGAAUUGCAGAAUUCAGUGAAUCAUCGAAUCUUUGAACGCACCUUGCGCUCCUUGGUAUUCCUUGGAGCAUGCCUGUUUGGGUAUCAUGAAAUCUUCAAAGUAAAUCUUUUGUUAACUCAAUUGGUUUCUACUUUGGUAUUGGAGGUCUUUGCAGCUUCACACCUGCUCCUCUUUGUUCAUUAGCUGGAUCUCAGUGUUAUGCUUGGUACCACUCGGCGUGAUAAGUUAUCUAUCGCUGAGGACACUGUAAAAGGUGGCCAAGGUAAAUGCAGAUGAACCGCUUCUAAUAGUCCAUUGACUUGGACAAUACUUUUAUGAUCUGAUCUCAAAUCAGGUAGGACUACCCGCUGAACUUAAGC
RNAcentral lists this unclassified non-coding RNA (378 nucleotides) under plant metagenome. RNAcentral's name for it is "partial contains 5.8S ribosomal RNA, internal transcribed spacer 2, and large subunit ribosomal RNA". The stretch from base 1 to 105 matches the Rfam family "5.8S ribosomal RNA", at positions 50 to 154 of the family's 154-position model. The record is from RNAcentral.